This 468-nucleotide ribosomal RNA is filed under the name uncultured bacterium. RNAcentral describes it as "partial 16S ribosomal RNA". It matches the Rfam family "Bacterial small subunit ribosomal RNA", at positions 28 to 507 of the family's 1533-position model. The record is from RNAcentral.
GACGAACGCUGGCGGCGUGCUUAACACAUGCAAGUCGAACGGAAAGGCCCUGCUUUUGUGGGGUGCUCGAGUGGCGAACGGGUGAGUAGCACGUGAGUAACCUGCCCUUUACUUUGGGAUAACUUCAGGAAACUGGGGCUAAUACCGGAUAGGAGCUCCUGCUGCAUGGUGGGGGUUGGAAAGUUUCGGCGGUUGGGGAUGGACUCGCGGCGUAUCAGCUUGUUGGUGGGGUGGUGGAGUACCAAGGCUUUGACGGGUAGCCGGGCUGGGCGGGUGACCGGCCACAUUGGGACGGGGCUGAGGCCCAGACUCCUACGGGAGGCAGCAGUGGGGAAUAGAGCACAAGGGGCGGAAGCCAGACGCAGCAACGCAGCGUGCGGGAUGACGGCCUUCGGGUUGUAAACCGCUUUCGCCUGUGACGAAGCGUGAGUGACGGUAAUGGGUAAAGAAGCACCGGCUAACUACGUG